CGCCUGUUUAACAAAAACAUUUCUUUUAGGUUUUUUUAAAAGUACUUUCUGCCCUAUGGUUAUUUUCUAAAUGGCUGCAGUAUUUUGACUGUGCAAAGGUAGCAUAAUAAUUAGUUUUUUAAUUGAAGGCUGGUAUGAAUGGAAAAUUGAGAUACAUUUUUUAUUUAAUUUAUUUUUAAAAUUUAAGUUUUAGGUUAAAAUUCCUAACUAUUUUCUUGGGACGAUAAGACCCUAUAGAACUUUAACAUAUUAUUUUGUAAAUAGUUUUUAUUUCUAUAACAAAUUAUAUUAUAGUAGGUUUUGCUGGGGUGGUGAAUAAAUUAAUAACUUUAUUAAUAAAAAUCAUUAUAGUUGUUUUUUAAGAUCUUUUGUUUGAAAGAAAGAAAAAGUUACCUUAGGGAUAACAGCGUAAUUUUAAUGGUAAGUUCACAUUUAUAUUAUUUUUUGCGACCUCGAUGUUGAAUUAAGGAAAAUUUUAAGAAGCAGCAUUCUUGAUUUUAAGUCUGUUCGACUUUUAAAUCCUUACUUGAUCUGAGUUCAGACCGG
RNAcentral lists this ribosomal RNA (546 nucleotides) under Sanctanus balli. Its description in RNAcentral is "partial 16S ribosomal RNA". It matches the Rfam family "Archaeal large subunit ribosomal RNA", at positions 1889 to 2688 of the family's 2987-position model. The record is from RNAcentral. Lineage: Eukaryota; Metazoa; Arthropoda; Insecta; Hemiptera; Cicadellidae.